UACAGAGGGGGCAAGCGUUGUUCGGAAUUACUGGGCGUAAAGGGCGUGUAGGCGGUCUGGUAAGUGGGAUGUGAAAUGCCCCGGCUCACCCGGGGACCUGCAUCCCAAACUACCUGGCUUGAGUAUGGGAGAGGAUGAGGGAAUUCCUGGUGUAGCGGUGAAAUGCGUAGAUAUCAGGAGGAACACCGGUGGCGAAAGCGCUCAUCUGGCCCAAUACUGACGCUGAGGCGCGAAAGCUAGGGGAGCAAACGGG
Molecule: ribosomal RNA, 253 nt
Filed under: uncultured bacterium
Lineage: Bacteria
Description: partial 16S ribosomal RNA
Rfam family: Bacterial small subunit ribosomal RNA
Source: RNAcentral